AAUGAGUUGUUUGGUCGCUUUUCAUUAUAAGUCUUAUGGGACUUUUUUGAUACUCAAAAAAGUCCCUAUAAUCUCCAAAGUGGCAUUACCCACUACAGAAAUUAUAGAGCC
RNAcentral lists this non-coding RNA (111 nucleotides) under Streptococcus equinus. RNAcentral's name for it is "Streptococcus RNA 266". It matches the Rfam family "Streptococcus RNA 266". Lineage: Bacteria; Bacillati; Bacillota; Bacilli; Lactobacillales; Streptococcaceae. The record is from RNAcentral.